CCUACGGGAGGCAGCAGUGGGGAAUCUUGCGCAAUGGGCGGAAGCCUGACGCAGCAACGCCGCGUGCGGGAAGAAGGCCUUAGGGUCGUAAACCGCUUUCAGGGGGGACGAAGCUUCCGGGGUUAAUAGCCUACGGGGUGACGGUACUCCCAAAAGAAGGUCCGGCUAACUACGUGCCAGCAGCCGCGGUAAUACGUAGGGACCGAGCGUUGUCCGGAAUCAUUGGGCGUAAAGAGCGUGUAGGCGGCCUAGUAGGUCUCGUGUGAAAUCCCGUGGCUCAACCACGGACACGCACGGGAAACCCCUAGGCUCGAGUCCGGAAGAGGGGAGCGGAAUUCCUGGUGUAGCGGUGAAAUGCGCAGAUAUCAGGAAGAACACCCGUAGCGAAGGCGGCUCUCUGGGACGGUACUGACGCUGAGACGCGAAAGCGUGGGGAGCAAACAGGAUUAGAUACCCUGGUAGUCCACGCCGUAAACGAUGGAUGCUAGGUGUGGGAGGUGUCGACUCCUCCCGUGCCGAAGCUAACGCAUUAAGCAUCCCGCCUGGGGAGUACGGCCGCAAGGCUAAAACUCAAAGGAAUUGACGGCNGAGACGNGCGACGACGACGACGAGGAGAGG
RNAcentral lists this ribosomal RNA (618 nucleotides) under uncultured bacterium. RNAcentral's name for it is "bacterial SSU rRNA". It matches the Rfam family "Bacterial small subunit ribosomal RNA", at positions 338 to 961 of the family's 1533-position model. The record is from RNAcentral.